Molecule: long non-coding RNA, 3139 nt
Organism: Malus domestica (apple)
Lineage: Eukaryota; Viridiplantae; Streptophyta; Magnoliopsida; Rosales; Rosaceae
Source: RefSeq, a predicted model, not a curated record
CAACCCCAAUAAAUUCUCUCACCGAAGUUCGAACCCACAAAAGCCCAAUCUUCUUCUUCCUCACCGAACCCAUCCAAUUUCCUCACUCAACUCACAAAGCCCUCUUCUUCUCACCGAACCUACCCAAUUUCCUCACCUGCCACCAGCCAAACACUCUCUCCUCCUCCCACCACCCAAUUUUCUCCCAUCACACAAACUCUCUCUCUUCUUCUUGUAGACGGCAACUCACCCAAUUUCCUCAGUCCCACCACCCAAACUCUCGCCGAUUACGACCUGCAGGGACCUAAAAUUUUCUUUUGCGAAUUUCAGUCCCCCAGCUCGGCGAGAUCACUGUAUUGAAGCAGUAGGACGGUUCCGAUUCCAAGAAGCCUCUGCUCAUGGCCAUGAAGAUUCUGAUUUUACGACGUGUAACAGAGCAGCUCUAGCCGCAGGCGCUUGAAGGCGACAUGGCCCUGAUCGACAGUCUCUUCCGCCACAGUUCCGGCUGACGGAUUGGAUUCCGAAGCUCCGACAAUUCCGACUGAGAAAGAGGUCAAUAACAACAAGGAUCAGCUUGCAAAAGAACAGAGCAGAGCACAAGCAUUAUCAAUUUAUUUGCUGAAGUUUUGCAGCUGUCUGCACGUCUCCAACAAGCCACACCAAGCAUACAAUGGGCUUGCUCACCUAAGUGGAGGGCUUCUCAGGUAACUCAACAGCAUCCUUUGCUUCGACGAUGUCUUCGCCCUCAUCAUCAAAAUCAAAAUGAUAAUAUUCAGGCUGGAUUGUGAUGUUGGGGAUGUGAGAAAUCUUGGGCCACUCCUUUCCUCUGCCUUUUCGGCAACCUCGUGCAAGAUUACCAGAGCAGUUGAUGACAAGUGUCUGAAGUGGUGUUUUCCGCAAGAAGUCUGGCAGUGUUUUUAGUUGACUGCAGUACCCAAUCUGUAAAGAAGAAAGGCAUGGCAUUAUGAAACUCAACUCCAACCUUUUUUACUCCUUUCAUACUCAUAACGAUCAACCUUUCGAGGGACGGCAAUAUUCCCAAAGGAGGUAAAACUUCACAUUCAUUCCAAUCUGCAAGAUGAAGAAAUCUCAAAUUGUUGAAUGACAUGAUCCAGUUGGGGGCAGUGCUUCCAUUAUAGCCAUUGAUUCCUAAAUAUUCCAAAUUUGGAUGCGGUCGUAAGAAAUUCAGUGUUUCUGCACUUCUUCCACAAUCAGAAAAAUAUAUACUCAAAUUUGAGAGUUGUUGUUUGUUCAGUACUGGUCCUGGUCCAAGCCGCAAGUUGAUGUCAAGAGCUUCCCAGAUGCACUGAUCAAUCCACUCGCUGCAAACAGCGAAGGCAUGUACAUUGUUGUCGGAGGCUCAUCGGGGAAUAUCUACUUAAUGGGAGGUUAACUUUCCUAAUCAUUUUUUUUUUUUGUCUCUUUGAAUUGAUCUUUUUUUGAGCUCUGAAAUGCUGAUGGACAUUUUACGGAGCACACUCUUUUAGUCCCUCAAUAUCUAUUACAUGUCUUUUGCCUAUUAUUUACUGAUGCAUUCGUAUUCAUCCCCAAUAAACAAAAAAGCACUGCAUUCUUGAAAUUGCAUGUGUUUUGUAAUUUUCAUUUGCAUGUAAAUUUCUUAGGUUUGGAGCGUAGGAAGAGGGAGAUUAUUUAGAAAUAUUGUUUUCCCUACUAUAAUUGAUGCGAUUGCUCUAGAUCCUGGUGAUAAUGUCUUCUUUGCCAGUGGUAGAGAUGGCAAGAUAUAUAGGUUGCUGCAUUUAAUGCCGUGAGCCUACUUAACAGCAAGUAUGGCUUGCAUAUCAUCGAUUGUUUCUCAAAUCACAGGUUUCUUGAAUUUCCUAUAGUAUUUACAUAAAAUUUGCACUGUACUCUGCAGGUCCAGUGAAUUAACAUUUUAGUCGUUUGACAGCAUUUUUCUGAGAAAUAUAUAGGAAGUUGUAUUAAGAUCACCUUUUGUGUUGUAUUCUUGGUUCUGACUUGUACCGGAGACCUCAAACAAGUCUGGAGCUUUUUGCAUUAUACUUGAAAAGGUCAACGAAACAUGCAUGCAUAAACACAACACCCCAAUUAAUUUGAGAUUACCUGUUUCCGCACUCUUCCUUUUCGAUGAUUUUCAAUAAUUUUGUGACUAUAAAUUGUUACUUUCUUGCAUAUAGUUUUGGGAUUAAAAAUAAAAUAAAACUAGAGCAUUGCAAAUCACGAUACUGGGAGUUACAAGUCCAUUGCAAAUCACAAUAUUGGUGCACCUAGUGCUGAGAGCCCACUUAACAGCAAGAAUGGAUUGCAUAUCAUCGAUUGUUUCUUGAAUCACAGGUUUCUCUCUUUUCCUAUAGGCAACCUUUUGAGUUUUCUUCGGUUAACACUUGUCUAAUUUUUAAAUUUGUAUUUUUCGUUUUUCAAAGUAUAAUUGCCCAAGAUUGUUGCACGUUUUAAGAACCCUGCAUUCUACCUUUAGUUAUGACAGGCCUUGCGUUCUGGCGAACCGAAUCUGAGGAACAUUCAUUUUAGUAUAUUUUGAAUGAGCAAAACUCAUUUAACUCACAACUUUAUACUUUAGACUUUUGAACAGCAAAGUUGUUACUUGCUUAGCAUAUGGCAUUUCUGGAAAUGAUUUGAUUUCUAGAUUAGAAGAUGGCGUGGUUCGAGUUUGGGAUGCUAGAACUCAUAAUAUUCUUCGCGUGUUCAAACAUGCAAAAGGUUAUCUCAAUUCUAUUUGAAUUAUUUCCUUCCCCGGGUGUAUGCAUAUUUGAUGAUAUUGAAGCAAAUUUAGCUGUAUUUGAUUAGCACUAUUUCAUAAUACAUGUAUGCAUAAACUAAACACCCCAAUUAAUUUUGAGAUUACCUUUUCGAUGAUUUUUGCACCCAGCCAAAGUCAGCUCCAAUGUAAUGGUUUCGGUUUAUUUCAGGCAGCAUUGUUUGUACUCGGGACCUGUAACUAGUAGCAGCUAAGUCUCAAAUUCAGAGAUUUUAAAAAUAAAAUAAAACUAGAGCAUUGGGAGAGGAGGAAUCGUACCCCGGGACCUGGAAUAUGGUCUUAACCGAGUUACAAGUCCCUUGCAACAUUAUAUAUGCAGUUAUGCUUGUCUAGUUGGAAUCUUGUCUAGUUGGAUUGAUGUAAAAUGAAUAGACUGAGUUGGUAAAUAAAUAGAAAAGAGCUUAA